Molecule: ribosomal RNA, 485 nt
Filed under: uncultured bacterium
Lineage: Bacteria
Description: bacterial SSU rRNA
Rfam family: Bacterial small subunit ribosomal RNA
Source: RNAcentral
GAUCAUGGCUCAGAUUGAACGCUGGCGGCAGGCUUAACACAUGCAAGUCGAGCGGAGACUUCGGUCUUAGCGGCGAACGGGUGAGUAACACCUAGGAAUCUGCCUAUUAGUGGGGGAUAACGUGUGGAAACGCACGCUAAUACCGCAUACGCCCUACGGGGGAAAGCCGGGGAUCUUCGGACCUGGCGCUAGUAGAUGAGCCCGCGUGAGAUUAGCUUGUUGGUGGGGUAAUGGCCUACCAAGGCAACGAUCUCUAGCUGGUCUGAGAGGACGAUCAGCCACACUGGGACUGAGACACGGCCCAGACUCCUACGGGAGGCAGCAGUGGGGAAUAUUGGACAAUGGGCGAAAGCCUGAUCCAGCAAUGCCGCGUGUGUGAAGAAGGCCUGAGGGUUGUAAAGCACUUUCAAUCGUGAAGAAAAGUUGCAGGCUAAUACCCAGUGACCUUGGCGUUAACGAUACAAGAAGCACCGGCUAACUCCGUG